GGGAGGGAGGGGGCCACAGGGCUGUGUUGGAACCAGACGGAACUGGCUUGCAGAACCAACUGUUCCAUUUUUAGUAUUUUGAAGAGGACCAAUGACAUCUCCAGGUGAAGUUUCGACUUGCGCAUGAAUUAGAUUUAAGUGAGGCACAGCAGCAUGAAAUGGGGAAACUGAGGCCCAGGGAGAUCACACAAGCUACAAGUGGAGGAGCGAGGAUUCAAACUCAGAUUCUGCAAGUCCAGCUCUGAUCCAUUUC
Non-coding RNA from Phascolarctos cinereus (koala), 253 nucleotides. Lineage: Eukaryota; Metazoa; Chordata; Mammalia; Diprotodontia; Phascolarctidae. The record is from RefSeq and is a predicted model, not a curated record.